GGACACGCUGGCGGCGUGCCUAACACAUGCAAGUCGAGCGGUUCAAUGUCCGGCACUGAGUAUUUGGACAGACAAAUACUGAGUGCUGGAUAUUGGAUAGCGGCGGACGGGUGAGUAACGCGUGGGCAACCUACCUCUAACUGGGGGAUAACACAGGGAAACCUGUGCUAAUACCGCAUAACAUAUUGAAAGGGCAUCCUUUUAAUAUCAAAGGAGAAAUCCGGUGAGAGAUGGGCCCGCGUCCAAUUAGCUAGUUGGUGAGGUAAAGGCUCACCAAGGCGACGAUUGGUAGCCGAACUGAGAGGUUGAUCGGCCACAUUGGGACUGAGACACGGCCCAGACUCCUACGGGAGGCAGCAGUGGGGGAUUUUCGGCAAUGGGCGAAAGCCUGACCGAGCGACGCCGCGUGAGCGAAGAAGGCCUUCGGGUCGUAAAGCUCUGUCUAGGGGGACGAGAGAGGACGGUACCCCUGGAGGAAGCCACGGCUAACUACGUG
Molecule: ribosomal RNA, 496 nt
Filed under: uncultured bacterium
Lineage: Bacteria
Description: bacterial SSU rRNA
Rfam family: Bacterial small subunit ribosomal RNA
Source: RNAcentral